GGGAAGAAAGCUUGCUUUCUUUGCCGGCGACCGGCGCACGGGUGAGUAACACGUAUCCAACCUGCCCUUUACUCGGGGAUAGCCUUUCGAAAGAAAGAUUAAUACCCGAUAGCAUAAUGAUUCCGCAUGGUUUCAUUAUUAAAGGAUUCCGGUAAAGGAUGGGGAUGCGUUCCAUUAGGUUGUUGGUGAGGUAACGGCCCACCAAGCCUUCGAUGGAUAGGGGUUCUGAGAGGAAGGUCCCCCACAUUGGAACUGAGACACGGUCCAAA
This 269-nucleotide ribosomal RNA is filed under the name Bacteroides fragilis. Its description in RNAcentral is "partial 16S ribosomal RNA". It matches the Rfam family "Bacterial small subunit ribosomal RNA", at positions 68 to 335 of the family's 1533-position model. The record is from RNAcentral. Lineage: Bacteria; Pseudomonadati; Bacteroidota; Bacteroidia; Bacteroidales; Bacteroidaceae.